AAAAAGUGGAAAGAGGAAAAAAAAUUGUACAUCCCACCUAAAUACCAUAAAAUCGUACUCUAAAAAAUUGUACUUAAAAUUAUUAUUUUGGCUGUGAGAAAAAAUAAGAAAGCUACAAUAGGGGUUGUAGCUUUUUUGUUGGCUUUAUACAUCUUCUAAUGCCCUACCAAUUAUACCCAAAACAUUUUUU
This 190-nucleotide small RNA is filed under the name Arabidopsis thaliana (thale cress). RNAcentral describes it as "ATSL279060". Lineage: Eukaryota; Viridiplantae; Streptophyta; Magnoliopsida; Brassicales; Brassicaceae. The record is from RNAcentral.